UACAGAGGGGGCAAGCGUUAUUCGGAAUUAUUGGGCGUAAAGGGCUCGUAGGCGGUUUGUCGCGUCGGGAGUGAAAACACGGGGCUUAACCCCGUGCCUGCUUCCGAUACGGGCAGACUAGAGGUAUGCAGGGGAGAACGGAAUUCCUGGUGUAGCGGUGAAAUGCGCAGAUAUCAGGAGGAACACCGGUGGCGAAGGCGGUUCUCUGGGCAUGUCCUGACGCUGAGGAGCGAAAGUGUGGGGAGCGAACAGG
This 253-nucleotide ribosomal RNA is filed under the name uncultured bacterium. RNAcentral describes it as "partial 16S ribosomal RNA". It matches the Rfam family "Bacterial small subunit ribosomal RNA", at positions 524 to 776 of the family's 1533-position model. The record is from RNAcentral.